RNAcentral lists this ribosomal RNA (598 nucleotides) under uncultured Piloderma. RNAcentral describes it as "eukaryotic LSU rRNA". The stretch from base 205 to 359 matches the Rfam family "5.8S ribosomal RNA". The record is from RNAcentral. Lineage: Eukaryota; Fungi; Basidiomycota; Agaricomycetes; Atheliales; Atheliaceae.
CAUUAUCGAAAUUAUCGGUGAGGGUUGUAGCUGGCCUUUCGGGGCACGUGCACGCCCGAGCCCUUUAAUCCACUUUACACCUGUGAACCUAAUGUAGGUCGCCCCUCGAAAAGGUGGCCUACGUCUUAUCAUCAACCCCAUCGUAUGUCUCAUAGAAUGUAAAUCAAUAUCCUCGCCUUAAAAAAGCGUUGAUAAACUUUAUACAACUUUCAACAACGGAUCUCUUGGCUCUCGCAUCGAUGAAGAACGCAGCGAAAUGCGAUAAGUAAUGUGAAUUGCAGAUUUUCAGUGAAUCAUCGAAUCUUUGAACGCACCUUGCGCUCCUUGGUAUUCCGAGGAGCAUGCCUGUUUGAGUGUCAUUAAAUUCUCAACUCCAAAGGGUUUCACGACCUCUUGGAGAUUGGACUUGGAGCGUGCCGGCGUCCACGUCGGCUCCUCUCAAAUGCAUCAGCGGAAUUCAAUCUUUGGGCUUCCGGAGUCGGUGUGAUAAUCAUGUUGCGCUGUCGUCGGAAUCCUCAGAGUCCGCUCAUUAAUGGUCUUUGGACAAAUCAUCAUCAAAUUUGACCUCAAAUCAGGUAGGACUACCCGCUGAACUUAA